GUUCGGCGUGGUGGUGACGGCACUGCCCCGGCCGUUGGCAACGGUGGGCGGGUUCGAUCCGCCGGACUCGCCGUUCGUGCGGGCGGCCGGACC
RNAcentral lists this transfer RNA (93 nucleotides) under Actinoplanes italicus. RNAcentral describes it as "tRNA-Ala". Lineage: Bacteria; Bacillati; Actinomycetota; Actinomycetes; Micromonosporales; Micromonosporaceae. The record is from RNAcentral.